Molecule: ribosomal RNA, 469 nt
Filed under: uncultured Bacteroidota bacterium
Lineage: Bacteria; Pseudomonadati; Bacteroidota
Description: bacterial SSU rRNA
Rfam family: Bacterial small subunit ribosomal RNA
Source: RNAcentral
AGAGUUUGAUCAUGGCUCAGGAUGAACGCUAGCGGCAGGCCUAAUACAUGCAAGUCGAGGGGUAAGGUCUCUUUCGGGAGACACACGACCGGCGCACGGGUGCGUAACGCGUAUGCAACCUACCUUUAACAGAAGGAUAGCCCCGAGAAAUCGGGAUUAAUACUUCAUACCACUGUUAGAUGGCAUCAUUUUACAGUGAAAGCUCCGGCGGUUAGAGAUGGGCAUGCGUGACAUUAGCUAGUUGGUGAGGUAAGGGCUCACCAAGGCGACGAUGUCUAGGGGAUCUGAGAGGAUAAUCCCCCACACUGGUACUGAGACACGGACCAGACUCCUACGGGAGGCAGCAGUAAGGAAUAUUGCGCAAUGGAGGAAACUCUGACGCAGCCAUGCCGCGUGCAGGAAGAAGGCCUUAUGGGUCGUAAACUGCUUUUAUAAAGGGAUAAACCCACUCUCGUGAGGGUGGGGAAGG